UGUCUUCUUUGACUAUUAAUGACGUUAAAAUACUAAAUCCCUGUGAUGUGUUUUAGUCGAUUUUAGUGUCUGAUGCAUGAUUUUUUACUAUUAAUUGGUUUUGGCUUUUAACUAGCUGUCAGUAACUGCGAGUACUCUCAAAUCGUAUUUUCUUGUUAAUUCGACCUGUUGAUACUGUUUAUAAUGCUUUUUUUGUUAUUUUUUAUUUAUAUGGAUCUUGUCUG
Molecule: long non-coding RNA, 224 nt
Filed under: Mytilus galloprovincialis (Mediterranean mussel)
Lineage: Eukaryota; Metazoa; Mollusca; Bivalvia; Mytilida; Mytilidae
Source: RNAcentral